This 458-nucleotide ribosomal RNA is filed under the name uncultured bacterium. RNAcentral's name for it is "partial 16S ribosomal RNA". It matches the Rfam family "Bacterial small subunit ribosomal RNA", at positions 338 to 795 of the family's 1533-position model. The record is from RNAcentral.
CCUACGGGUGACAGCAGUGAGGAAUAUUGGUCAAUGGGCGAGAGCCUGAACCAGCCAAGUCGCGUGAGGGAGUACUGCCCUAUGGGUUGUAAACCUCUUUUGUCGGGGAGCAAAAGCCGGACGUGUCCGGCUGUGAGAGUACCCGAAGAAUAAGCAUCGGCUAACUCCGUGCCAGCAGCCGCGGUAAUACGGAGGAUGCGAGCGUUAUCCGGAUUUAUUGGGUUUAAAGGGUGCGCAGGCGGAUUUUUAAGUCAGCGGUAAAAUCGUGGGGCUCAACCCCAUCCAGCCGUUGAAACUGGGGAUCUAGAGUGUGCGAGAGGUAUGCGGAAUGCGUGGUGUAGCGGUGAAAUGCAUAGAUAUCACGCAGAACCCCGAUUGCGAAGGCAGCAUACCGGUGCACAACUGACGCUCAGGCACGAAAGCGUGGGUAUCGAACAGGAUUAGAUACCCGAGUAGUC